Long non-coding RNA from Saccostrea cuccullata (small rock oyster), 1335 nucleotides. RefSeq lists it as uncharacterized. The transcript is spliced from 3 exons. The record is from RefSeq and is a predicted model, not a curated record. Lineage: Eukaryota; Metazoa; Mollusca; Bivalvia; Ostreida; Ostreidae.
GCGUUUUCUUGUUGCCGAUUUAAAAGAAAAGCCUUUGCAUCAUAUAAGCAAUAAAAAUAAGUGCUGGACUAUUAAGUCUAUACUCGCUACCGACAGUUUCAUCUUCAUGUUUAACAUCUGAGUUGCAUUCAAAUUACCAAAUUCAAAAGACCCGCCUUUGGUGAAGACAAAUAAUUUGGUGCUACACAAAUAAAGAGCUUAUAUCAGAGGAUAGACUACUUAAUUGGGAGCCUUUUCAGUGUUUGUGAUUCUAAAUAAUAGAUCCACCACUCUGCUGAUUCUAUAGUGAACAAAUGUUGGAAUUACAUGCUUUUGCAGAAUCAUAAAUAAGCAGUGAUAUCAAUGAGUUCCGGAUUAUUCUUUAAGAAGAAUGGGUUUCUGUGAUUCUGUUCUUAUAAAAUUCAGUGAAUAGUUUGGAUAUAAUGUUUUACAUUUAAAUCGUCAUCUUAUUAAGGAAGAUCAUUUGUUGGGAUUAUAUUAAUAUGACGUCAUGGUUCAUGUGACAUAUGUGUAUAAUAUUUUUCUUAAUUAUUGGUAACUGAAAUUAUUUAUCAAAUAUUAAAGAGAACUUUAUUGGAAAUAUCAAAGUGUUUAGUUAAAUUGUAUAAGAAGUAGAAUUUUCCUAUGAGUUGUUCAAUUUAACAGAUCAUACUAGGAUCAUGAUUUUGAUACGAGUUGUUAGCUACAACAGAUCAUACCAGGAUCAUGGUUUUAAUGCGAGUUGUUAGCUACAACAGAUUAUACCAGGAUCAUGGUUUUAAUACGAGUUGUUAGCUACAACAGAUCAUACCAGGAUCAUAGUUUUAAUACGAGUUGUGAGCUACAACAGAUCAUACCAGAAUCAUGGUUUUAAUACGAGUUGUUAGCUACACCAGAUCAUUCCGGGAUCAUGGUUUUAAUACGAGUUGUUAGCUACAACAGAUCAAUUUGAUGCUUAAAUUAAGUUUUCAAUUCAAAUCCAUGUAAAGCUUUGCUAUGUCUCUUCUACACAUUUACAAAGAAAAAAUAAAUCAUGCACUUGCUGGUAGAAACUAGAAAUUAAAAAAAGGUCAAUAAUAGAAUUAAUGAAUUAUACUCACCGAGUAUAGACUUAAUAGUCCAGCACUUAUUUUUAUUGCUUAUAUGAUGCAAAGGCUUUUCUUUUAAAUCGGCAACAAGAAAACGCGCACAUCUUGUUUAUCAGAAUUCAAAUUCUGACCUAGAUCGACUGCAAACCACUGUACUACAGCGUGCUGCCCAGCAGGAGAAUUGCAUAACAAGGUUACUAUGACUCUGAAGAUCCAAUCCUAAUCUAAUGCCUCAAAGUUAGACUGGGAGUGGAUCACAAAUAUUACA